UACGAAGGGGGCUAGCGUUGCUCGGAAUCACUGGGCGUAAAGCGCACGUAGGCGGCUUUCUAAGUCGGGGGUGAAAUCCUGGAGCUCAACUCCAGAACUGCCUUCGAUACUGGCGAUCUUGAGUCCGGGAGAGGUGAGUGGAACUCCGAGUGUAGAGGUGAAAUUCGUAGAUAUUCGGAAGAACACCAGUGGCGAAGGCGGCCCUCUGGCUCGACCCUGACGCUGAGGCGCGAAAGCGUGGGGAGCGAACGGG
This 253-nucleotide ribosomal RNA is filed under the name uncultured bacterium. Its description in RNAcentral is "partial 16S ribosomal RNA". It matches the Rfam family "Bacterial small subunit ribosomal RNA", at positions 524 to 776 of the family's 1533-position model. The record is from RNAcentral.